ACGAACGCUGGCGGCGUGCUUAACACAUGCCAGUCGCACGGAAAGGCCCUGCUUUUGUGGGGUGCUCGAGUGGCGAACGGGUGAGUAACACGUGAGUAACCUGCCCUUGACUUUGGGAUAACUUCAGGAAACUGGGGCUAAUACCGGAUAGGAGCUCCUGCUGCAUGGUGGGGGUUGGAAAGUUUCGGCGGUUGGGGAUGGACUCGCGGCUUAUCAGCUUGUUGGUGGGGUAGUGGCUUACCAAGGCUUUGACGGGUAGCCGGCCUGAGAGGGUGACCGGCCACAUUGGGACUGGGAUACGGCCCAGACUCCUACGGGAGGCAGCAGUGGGGAAUAUUGCACAAUGGGCGGAAGCCUGAUGCAGCAACGCCGCGUGCGGGAUGACGGCCUUCGGUUUGUAAACCGCUUUCGCCUGUGACGAAGCGUGAGUGACGGUAAUGGGUAAAGAAGCACCGGCUAACUACGUG
Molecule: ribosomal RNA, 467 nt
Filed under: uncultured bacterium
Lineage: Bacteria
Description: partial 16S ribosomal RNA
Rfam family: Bacterial small subunit ribosomal RNA
Source: RNAcentral